UUCCCUGCAAGACGGGGGAAGUCACGACCACUUCUGAGUUUGGCC
Molecule: ribosomal RNA, 45 nt
Filed under: Scolecobasidium robustum
Lineage: Eukaryota; Fungi; Ascomycota; Dothideomycetes; Venturiales; Sympoventuriaceae
Description: Ochroconis robusta partial 28S ribosomal RNA
Source: RNAcentral